UGUCUGUUCUGGUCUCAGUGUUCUGAAGACCUGGUGUGCUGACAUUUAAUCUCCAUCCUGAGAUAUCUCAAAGGAGUAGUCGUCUGACUGGAGUGGAGUCCUCAGAGAAUGAAGGGAGUUAGAAAAAGCCAUCAAGCAGAGUGCCUUCUCCGUGAGGCUUGCUGGCUGUAGAAAGGAAAAGAUGGUGAUGGUUAAGUCAGACCUGGAUGUGACCUACCGACAGAUCUUAUUCGAACAAGUGACUGAAAUAAUUUUCCUUCCGCUAUAUAAUGGGCAUAUCCACAGACCUUUCUUGGAGUAAGGACAGCAUAAAAACUUCCACAUGAGACCUGAUCCAUUCAUUUUCUUGUCAGCUGAUCAGCGAGGAUGCUGAACUCAGGAUAAAGUGGGGAGAGACAAGGGCUUGGUCCUGAAGAGAGUGUGACUACCUCCCUUGGGCAUGACCCUGCCCAGACUCGUGCCCAGAAAGACGCACAAGCCAGAAAUGCCUGCUUACCACAGUCCAGUAGGAAUUCUGAAACAUAAGUGGACACGAACCCCUUUCGACUCGUCCCCCAAAUCUGUGAGCACCAUCUCUUCAGGUGAAGGCCAGUGAUCACAGUGUGUCCUUGUGAGAAAAUGUUUCAAUUUGAAGGAAAGGGCUGCUAUAGCAGGCAAAUUCUGCACUACUAAGGACUCUUAAAAUCCAGUCUUCCGAACCCCAGGCCUCUUCCUAACUCCCCACAUCAAUGAGUUUGACCUUGAACUUCAGAUCCUUUCACCACAACUUCCUGAAUGCUGUGCUUACAGGGGCGUGCCUGGUUUUAGCAGGACUGAAUCUCAAGCUCGCCACCCACACGCUAGAACAAAAGGACUUGCAAGUUGCACAGCUUCUGGAAACUUCCAUACACCAGAGGGAGGUAUAGGAAAUGUUCGGUUGGCUACAGUUAGAGGCAACUACUCUGUUGCUUCCAACUUAACUUCACAGCCUCCUCAGGUAACGGAGACAAAGACUUCUGCAACCAGGCCAGGCAGAGCUCCGUUCUUACCAUUAAAGUCCCCUUUGGUCUGCUGGCCCAAGGCAGACUCAUCCGAUACUUGCUGCCUCUGCCUACACAAAUCUCGUCCAGCAACUCUCCUCUUUGGUAUACAUCCAUCCCACCAUGUAGACCAAAACUCAGGGUAUGGGCACCAUUCAAUCACCACCAUCCUGGAUUUCCACCUCUACACAUUAUGGGUAAGUUAUAGUGUCCUCAUGACCAUGCGUGAGCGCCUGCCAUUCUAGCCAAAGGGGGCCAUUUAACAUUCAGCAGAUGGCUGCACAUAGACAUUUAAAACUGAGAGAACACAGUGCACCAGGGAGAAUGUGAGGACUACUAGGACAAUGCCAAGAGUUUGGCUCCUGAUCCAGGAUUCUGGUCCAGCCAUCACACCCCUCCCCUGAUACCAACUACACAUCAUAUGGUUAAAGCAGAGGCCCGUGAGGAGUGCGUCUGUCUCAACUAAAUAGUCUGUUAGUGCUUUCA
This is a non-coding RNA of Rattus norvegicus (Norway rat), 1505 nucleotides long. The record is from RefSeq and is a predicted model, not a curated record. NCBI's taxonomy places the organism in Eukaryota, Metazoa, Chordata, Mammalia, Rodentia, Muridae.